UACAGAGGGUGCGAGCGUUAAUCGGAAUUACUGGGCGUAAAGCGUGCGUAGACGGUUAUUUAAGUCGGGUGUGAAAGCCCCGGGCUCAACCUGGGAAUUGCAUUCGAGACUGAAUAGCUAGGGUACGGUAGAGGGAAGCGGAAUUUCCGGUGUAGCGGUGAAAUGCGUAGAUAUCAGGAGGAACACCUGCGGUGUAGACGGCUUACUGGACCAUAACUGACGCUGAGGCACGAAAGCGUGGGUAGCAAACAGG
Molecule: ribosomal RNA, 253 nt
Filed under: uncultured bacterium
Lineage: Bacteria
Description: partial 16S ribosomal RNA
Rfam family: Bacterial small subunit ribosomal RNA
Source: RNAcentral